This 460-nucleotide ribosomal RNA is filed under the name uncultured bacterium. RNAcentral's name for it is "partial 16S ribosomal RNA". It matches the Rfam family "Bacterial small subunit ribosomal RNA", at positions 338 to 795 of the family's 1533-position model. The record is from RNAcentral.
CCUACGGGUGGCAGCAGUGAGGAAUAUUGGUCAAUGGACGAGAGUCUGAACCAGCCAAGUAGCGUGAAGGAUGACUGCCCUAUGGGUUGUAAACUUCUUUUAUAUGGGAAUAAAAUGUUCCACGUGUGGGAUUUUGUAUGUCCCAUAUGAAUAAGAAUCGUCUAACUCCGUGCCAGCAGCCGCGGUACUACGGAGGAACCGAGCGUUAUCCGGAUUUAUUGGGUUUAAAGGGAGCGUAGGUGGAUUGUUAAGUCAGUUGUGAAAGUUUGCGGCUCAACCGUAAAAUUGCAGUUGAAACGGGCAGUCGUGAGUACAGUAGAGGUGGGCGGAAUUCGUGGUGUAGCGGUGAAAUGCUUAGAUAGCACGAAGAACUCCGAUUGCGAAGGCAGCUCACUGGACUGCAACUGACACUGAGGCUCGAAAGUGUGGGUAUCAAACAGGAUUAGAUACCCCAGUAGUC